Long non-coding RNA from Pistacia vera, 1980 nucleotides. RefSeq lists it as uncharacterized. The transcript has 9 exons. NCBI's taxonomy places the organism in Eukaryota, Viridiplantae, Streptophyta, Magnoliopsida, Sapindales, Anacardiaceae. The record is from RefSeq and is a predicted model, not a curated record.
UCUUUAUGAAGUGGCAAAUCGGUGUCCAGCUUUCAAUGGUUUGACCAUGAUUCACGAUCAAAUGCUGAUGAUGAGCAGAGCAAUGGACAGAAUGAUGGAGAAACUUUUUAAUACAAUCAGGGGUUUGGGCAGAAUCAUGAUGGCUUAUAUUGGAAAAUCCUUCUUCUGAAUGUUUUGAAUAAGUUUGAUUUGUUCAUGGAUGCUAUAAAGUGGCGUAGUCCUCAUGCUGAAUUCCAUUCUGUGGCUAUUAUGUCAAAACCAAAGUGGGACAGACCGAAUGCAGAAGAAACAAUAUUUCCUAUGCAAUGAAGUGUGUGUGGAGUUGAGAUACUUAUGUGGGGAAGCAUCUAUGGUGAAUUAUUGGAUUGCUCUGUGUUAUUCUUGGUUCUAUGAAGUGGCAAAUAAUUAUGCCUGCUUGGACCAACAAUCCACACUCAAAUGUCUCCUCUAAGUACAAAUUUGAUGUCCUGUUGUGGAUGUUUUUAUUGAAGUUAUUAUAGGCAUCAAUCCAGAAGUGUUUUGAGCUGUUGUAAACGCAAUCAAGGUGUUUUUCCAAGCAUCUUGGUCAUUGAUUUCAUGUAAGUAUCAUCAACAAGUUCUGGCUGCAUAAACAGUUGCUAUGAAUGAUUCCAGUAUUUAUGCUCAUAGACACGCAAUGAAUCCUGAAUUACUAAAAAAAUAAUAUCUUAUUUUUGGGUUGCGAUGGACGAGGGAUGUUGGUGAAGCUAAACAUACAGAGCUCUGGAGGCAUCGAAUUCCAUCUAAAGGAGAUGUUUCUCACUGGGCUAAAUUGUCAGGAUUCAAAAACUCAUGUUUACCACUAAAAUUUAAGACUCAUUGGACCAAGUGUUGUGUGCUUGCUAAUACGAAUUAUAUCACCUUUGUUUUUUAUUCUCCUCAAAAGGUGGUUGUAAAUUCAGUGGGACAGAUGGAAUGCUGGAUGAAAAAAUAUUUCCUAUGCAAUGAAGUGUGUGUAGAAUUGAGAAGGGUUGAUGUGGGGAAGUUAUUAUGGUGAAUUAUUGGAUUGGUCAGUGCUAUUCUUGGUUCUAUGAAGUCGAAAAUUGGUCUAUGACUUUCACUGCUUUUGUUGUGAUUUCUUUCCACACUCAAAUGGUAUUUAAAUUGCACCCAGUAAUCAAACAUUUUCGAGUUGAUUUUUAAGUUUUGGCUGAUCUUUCUCAUCUCUUAAUGUUGUAGCCUCCUCUGCCGUACAAAUUUGAUGUUCUGCUGUGGAUGUUUUAAUUAAGGUUAUUGAAGCAUCAAUCUAGACAUGUUUUGAGCCACUAUAUAUGCGAUGAAGGAGUUUUCUCAAGCAUCUUAGCCAUUGAAUUUCAUGUGUUGAUCGAACCAUCGAGGUUGCCAAAAAGAAAAGAACACAAUCUUGUCAAAGUAAUGAGGUUUAUUUUGCAUUUUACAUCUACACAUUCGACCUCAUGUUAAGUUAUUUGGUUUAUCUUUUGACUUUACUGAGUAAACAUUUUCACUAUCAGUUCCAUUAUUGAAAGCAAAAGGUAGAAUUAACUCUAGUUUUCAUACAAGUCUUUUGUUUAAAAUGGAAUAGUUUUUGUAUUUAUAGUGGAUGGCAGAAGAAAGUCUUUUCAAGUGAUGAGGUCACAGCUCUGACCAUCAACAUGUUGUUGGAUAGGUGUUUGGCCCAAUACUUACCAUACUUACUUUGUAAUUAUGUUAGAUUACUUGUAAAAUUCUAUGUGAGAGUUCAAUGCUAUAAUGUGAAAUUUUUUUUUUCUUUUUUUUUUUUUUAGAGAGAGAGAGAGAAUGUUGAUAUUAUUGAGUGACAAGAAAAAUUAGGUAUUUGAGUGUCUUUAAUCAAGAAGGGGUAUACGAGGGUUUCAAAGUUAGGCUGGGGUUAGUAUUGAGAGAUUAAUCUUGUAUUAUGUAUGUGAUAUUUCUAAUGGAUUGAUCACGUCCCGUGGAUGUAGGCAAAUUUUGCCGAACCACGUAAAAUCUGGUGUUUUUUAU